UAUUGGCCCUUUCCCCAUUUCCAAGGUUGUGAACCCAGUGGCUGUUCGCCUCCAGUUACCCCGGUCUAUGCGGAUUUCGCCAACAUUUCAUGUGUCCCGGGUCAAGCCCUAUGUCCCACCUCGCUUCGGGCCCACCUCCAAUCCCCCUCCUCCCACCCGUUUUUUGGAUGGUGACCCCAUCUACACAGUCCGCCGUAUCCUCCGAUCCAGGAGGCGGGGACGGGGGAUCCAAUAUCUGGUGGACUGGGAAGGAUACGGACCAGAGGAACGAACUUGGAUUCCAGGCCGUUUCAUCCUUGACCAGACUCUCGUCAGAGAUUUUCGCCGCCUCCACCCUGACCAACCUGGGGGUCCGUCAGGAGCCGGACCUUGAGGAGGGGGUACUGUUAUGAUUCUGGCCUGUCUGCCUCCUCUGCUCUCCCUGUGAGCAAUCAAGUCCAGCUGCUGCAGUGCAAUCAGCAGCAUGCCUCUCAGCUGCUCACAAGCAGUUAUAAGUCAGCCUGUGGCAGGCAGACAGGGCCAGAUAAUUGCAAGCCGACAAGCCAGCAGUAUCCAGCACUUCAUGUACCUGACCAAGUUUUUGACCACGCCAUCGCCUCACGGAUUUUCCCUUUUUGCCCAGCCCUCGUCGGAUUUCUCUGCCUUUUGGACAACGACCCUGUUUCUGCCCCAUGACUUCUGCCUCUUGCCAAGUCCCCUGAAUAUUAAGCCUGAGUGAGGCUUCCAGGACCUCAAGCCUGCUUCUGUGCUCCACGUCACUAUCUGUUAAAGGAGCAGUCUGCUCUGCUAAAACUGCCGACCCCUGCUGAAGGAAGGACGCUGAAAAGUUAUCCCUGGUCCUCGGCGGAUGCACUCCUGAAGUCCAGAGUUCAGAAUAAACUGUUUAAGUCCUA
Molecule: long non-coding RNA, 893 nt
Organism: Fundulus heteroclitus (mummichog)
Lineage: Eukaryota; Metazoa; Chordata; Actinopteri; Cyprinodontiformes; Fundulidae
Exons: 2
Source: RefSeq, a predicted model, not a curated record